This 253-nucleotide ribosomal RNA is filed under the name uncultured bacterium. Its description in RNAcentral is "partial 16S ribosomal RNA". It matches the Rfam family "Bacterial small subunit ribosomal RNA", at positions 524 to 776 of the family's 1533-position model. The record is from RNAcentral.
UACGUAGGGUGCAGGCGUUAAUCGGAAUUACUGGGCGUAAAGCGUGCGCAGGCGGUUUCUUAAGUCGGAUGUGAAAGCCCCGGGCUCAACCCGGGAAGUGCACUCGAUACUGCCAAGCUAGAGUAUCGGAGAGGUUGGUGGAAUUCUCGGUGUAGAGGUGAAAUUCGUAGAUAUCGAGAGGAACACCGGUGGCGAAGGCGGCCAACUGGACGAAUACUGACGCUGAGACUCGAAAGCGUGGGGAGCAAACAGG